CGCGUAUGCAACCUACCUUAAUCAGGGGGAUAGCCCGAAGAAAUUCGGAUUAACACCGCAUAAUAUUAUUUUAUGGCAUCAUAGAAUAAUCAAAUAUUUAUAGGAUUAAGAUGGGCAUGCGUGACAUUAGUUAGUUGGCGAGGUAACGGCUCACCAAGACUACGAUGUCUAGGGGAUCUGAGAGGAUGACCCCCCACACUGGUACUGAGACACGGACCAG
This 220-nucleotide ribosomal RNA is filed under the name uncultured bacterium. RNAcentral describes it as "partial 16S ribosomal RNA". It matches the Rfam family "Bacterial small subunit ribosomal RNA", at positions 114 to 334 of the family's 1533-position model. The record is from RNAcentral.